GGCUUUUAAAAAAAAUUAUCUAGGCUAUCUACAAAUUUAAGAAUUUCGUCUCCAACUGCCUGUAGUAGGUGUUGACAAGAUAUGAUUUCUGCCCAGUGCUCUGAAUAUCAAAGUGAAGAAAUUCAAGGAAGUGCAGGUAAAUGGCAAGAGUAACUAUGACCCAUGUGUGCUAGCAAGUGACAAGUCAGAAGCAAC
RNAcentral lists this non-coding RNA (195 nucleotides) under Monodelphis domestica (gray short-tailed opossum). RNAcentral describes it as "Eukaryotic large subunit ribosomal RNA". The stretch from base 27 to 195 matches the Rfam family "Eukaryotic large subunit ribosomal RNA", at positions 2132 to 2303 of the family's 3401-position model. The record is from Rfam by way of RNAcentral. Lineage: Eukaryota; Metazoa; Chordata; Mammalia; Didelphimorphia; Didelphidae.